GGGCUCACACAAGCGGUGGAGCAUGUGGUUUAAUUCGAUAAUACGCGCGGAACCUUACCAGUCUUUGACAUAUAUGUAAAACUUUACUGAAAAGUAAUUGUACACUUAUACAGGUGUUGCAUGGCUGUCGUCAGCUCGUGUUGUGAAACGUUUGUUAAGUCCUUUAACGAGCGCAACCCCUAUUGAUAUUUACUCUUUUGUUAUUUAUAACCUUUAAGGUAUUCUUAAAUAACAGAAGUACUCUAUUGAUACUGCCAGUGAUAAAUUGGAGGAAGGUAGGAUGACGUCAAGUCCUCAUGGCCCUUAUGGACUGGGCUACACACGUGCUACAAUGGUAAUUACAAAGGGAAGCAAUAGUGUAAACUUGAG
Molecule: ribosomal RNA, 369 nt
Filed under: uncultured bacterium
Lineage: Bacteria
Description: bacterial SSU rRNA
Rfam family: Bacterial small subunit ribosomal RNA
Source: RNAcentral